CAACCCGUCUCUGUUGCAAAAGAGUGGGAAGAUUUCCAAGUAGAGGUGACAAGCCUAUCGAACUUAGAGAUAGCUGGUUGUUCAGGAAAAGAGUCCAAGCUCUACCUUAAGUUUUUUGAUUUAUCUAAACAAACCCCUAGACUUAAGAGCUAUUCAAGUAAGGCACAGCUUACUUGAAACAGGAUACAACCUCCUACAUUGGGUAAACAAGAACAAUUUAAACAAAGUGGGCCUAAAAGCAGCCAUCUUACAAAAAGCGUUAAAGCUUAACUUACAUACACUCAUAAUUCCAAUAGUUCUUAUUAACCCCUCAUUGUUACUGAACUAUUUUAUAAUCUUAUAAAAAUUAUUAUGCUAGAACUAGUAACAUGAAAUUACCUUUCUCCUUAAUGUAAGCUUCAACCAUAAUGGAUUAUCCACCGGUAUUUAACGUAACUGUCUUCAUUAUAGCAACAUACUACUAGAAAACCCUAUAACCACUAACGUCAACCUCACACUAGAACAUUACAGGAAAGAUUAAAAGAAAGAGAAGGAACUCGGCAAACCCCAGCCCCGCCUGUUUACCAAAAACAUCGCCUCUUGAUUAACAUAAGAGGUCCAGCCUGCCCAGUGACAUAGUUUAACGGCCGCGGUACCCUAACCGUGCGAAGGUAGCAUAAUCACUUGUUCUCUAAAUAGGGACUAGUAUCAACGGCAUCACGAGGGCUACACUGUCUCCUCUCUCCAAUCAGUGAAACUGAUCUCCCCGUGAAGAAGCGGGGAUUUAAAUAUAAGACGAGAAGACCCCAUGGAGCUUUAAACUUAAUACACACCUCUAUUUACCUACACCAACUAACCCUAAAAGUCUGUGUAUCAGUUUUAGGUUGGGGGGACCGCGGAGUAUAACUCAACCUCCACGACAAACGGGCCAACGCCCUUAUCCAUGAAACACAAUUCUAAGAAUCAAUAAUCUGAUGUUUUAUGACCCGACAAGUCGAUCAACGAACCAAGUUACCCUGGGGAUAACAGCGCAAUCUA
RNAcentral lists this ribosomal RNA (1017 nucleotides) under Glandirana rugosa (Japanese wrinkled frog). RNAcentral's name for it is "Rugosa rugosa (Japanese wrinkled frog) partial 16S ribosomal RNA". It matches the Rfam family "Bacterial large subunit ribosomal RNA", at positions 776 to 2489 of the family's 2925-position model. Lineage: Eukaryota; Metazoa; Chordata; Amphibia; Anura; Ranidae. The record is from RNAcentral.